CACGCUGUAAACGAUGAUCACUCGCUGUUUGCGAUAUACAGUAAGCGGCUAAGCGAAAGCGAUAAGUGAUCCACCUGGGGAGUACGAUCGCAAGGUUGAAACUCAAAGGAAUUGACGGGGGCCCGCACAAGCGGAGGAACAUGUGGUUUAAUUCGAUGAUACGCGAGGAACCUUACCUGGGCUUAAAUGGGGAGUGACAGCUGGCGAAAGUUGGUUUUCUUCGGACACUCUUCAAGGUGC
Molecule: ribosomal RNA, 240 nt
Filed under: uncultured Bacteroidota bacterium
Lineage: Bacteria; Pseudomonadati; Bacteroidota
Description: uncultured Bacteroidetes bacterium partial 16S ribosomal RNA
Rfam family: Bacterial small subunit ribosomal RNA
Source: RNAcentral